UCGAUCAUGCCAGCACUAAUGCACCGGAUCCCAUCAGAACUCCGAAGUUAAGCGUGCAUGGACAAGAGCAAUACUAGGAUAGAUGGCCCCCCGGGAAGUCCCCGUGUUGACCCU
This 114-nucleotide ribosomal RNA is filed under the name Zingiber officinale. The record is from RNAcentral. Lineage: Eukaryota; Viridiplantae; Streptophyta; Magnoliopsida; Zingiberales; Zingiberaceae.